Molecule: ribosomal RNA, 755 nt
Filed under: Cryptophilus sp. TJH-2004
Lineage: Eukaryota; Metazoa; Arthropoda; Insecta; Coleoptera; Erotylidae
Description: partial 16S ribosomal RNA
Rfam family: Archaeal large subunit ribosomal RNA (bases 1-557)
Source: RNAcentral
AAGGUUUAACCUGCCCACUGAAAAUUGAAUGGCUGCAGUAUUUUGACUGUACAAAGGUAGCAUAAUCAAUAGUUUUUUAAUUGAAAGCUGGAAUGAAUGGUUGGAUGAGAAAAUUACUGUCUCUGUUUAAUUUAAUUAGAAUUUUAUAUUUAAGUUAAAAAGCUUAAAUAAAAUUAAAAGACGAGAAGACCCUAUAGAAUUUUAUAUAAUAAAAAUUUAAUUUUUUAGGAUUAUAUAAUAUAAAUUUAAAAUUAUAUUUGAUUGGGGUGAUAUAAAAAUUAGAUAAACUUUUUAUAAUAAAAACAUGUAUAAGUGAAUAAUUGAUCCAAUUAUUUUGAUUAAAAGAAUAAAUUACCUUAGGGAUAACAGCGUUAUUUUUCUAAAGAGUUCUUAUCGAAAGAAAAGAUUGCGACCUCGAUGUUGGAUUAAAAUAAAAUUUUUGGUGUAGAAGCUAAAAAAUUAGGUCUGUUCGACCUUUGAAAUUUUACAUGAUCUGAGUUUAAACCGGUGUGAGCCAGGUUGGUUUCUAUCUUUAAUGAAAAAAAUAUUUUAGUACGAAAGGAUCAAAUAUUUAAUAAAUUAUUAUAUUUAUGAAUAAAAUUAUAUUAUUUUGGCAGAUUAGUGCAAUAGAUUUAGAAUCUUUUUAAGUAGAGUAUCUACAAAUAAUACUUGGGAUUUUUAGAUAAUAUUUUAAUUUGAUUAAGAAGAGUAAUUUUAUUAAUUUGUAUUUUAAUUAGAGUUGCAUUUUUAACGUU